UCGGGAAUUUUGGGCAAUGGGGGAAACCCUGACCCAGCAACGCCGCGUGAAGGAUGAAGUAUUUCGGUAUGUAAACUUCGAAAGAAUAGGAAGAAUAAAUGACGGUACUAUUUAUAAGGUCCGGCUAACUACGUGCCAGCAGCCGCGGUAAUACGUAGGGACCAAGCGUUGUUCGGAUUUACUGGGCGUAAAGGGCGCGUAGGCGGCAUGACAAGUCACUUGUGAAAUCUCUGGGCUUAACCCAGAACGGCCAAGUGAUACUGUCGCGCUAGAGUGCAGAAGGGGCAAUCGGAAUUCUUGGUGUAGCGGUGAAAUGCGUAGAUAUCAAGAGGAACACCUGAGGUGAAGACGGGUUGCUGGGCUGACACUGACGCUGAGACGCGAAAGCGUGGGGAGCAAACAGGAUUAGAUACCCAAGUAGUCCCUGAGCGGGCUGGCAAGGCGCAU
This 447-nucleotide ribosomal RNA is filed under the name uncultured bacterium. Its description in RNAcentral is "bacterial SSU rRNA". It matches the Rfam family "Bacterial small subunit ribosomal RNA", at positions 355 to 825 of the family's 1533-position model. The record is from RNAcentral.